Molecule: signal recognition particle RNA, 266 nt
Filed under: Acidobacteriota bacterium
Lineage: Bacteria; Pseudomonadati; Acidobacteriota
Also listed under: 1 other name
Description: Acidobacteria bacterium signal recognition particle sRNA large type
Rfam family: Bacterial large signal recognition particle RNA
About the family: The signal recognition particle (SRP) is a universally conserved ribonucleoprotein involved in the co-translational targeting of proteins to membranes. Archaeal SRP consists of a 7S RNA and homologues of the eukaryotic SRP19 and SRP54 proteins.
Source: RNAcentral
CCGUGCUGAGCGGGGAUGUAGCGGAGCCCUGAACCCGCAAUCCGCUCCAGCGGGGCUGAACGCCCGCCCGAGGAUCCGGCCAUCGGGGCCAGUACGCCGCGGGCAGCGUUGACGGCCAGGUCCCGCGCGAUGUGAGCCCGCGAACCAGGUCAGGUCCGGAAGGAAGCAGCCUUAAGCGUCAGCCCGCAAGCGCCGCGGAUCAGCCUGACCGGAGCCAGCCACGGCGGGCACGCCCGGGGACCGUCUUUCGAAGGCGGGCCGCACGG